This 253-nucleotide ribosomal RNA is filed under the name uncultured bacterium. RNAcentral's name for it is "partial 16S ribosomal RNA". It matches the Rfam family "Bacterial small subunit ribosomal RNA", at positions 524 to 776 of the family's 1533-position model. The record is from RNAcentral.
UACGGGGGGGGCAAGCGUUGUUCGGAAUUACUGGGCGUAAAGGGUUCGUAGGUGGCCGACUAAGUCAGACGUGAAAUCCCUCAGCUCAACUGGGGAACUGCGUCUGAGACUGGCCGGCUUGAGUGCAGGAGAGGAACGCGGAAUUCCAGGUGUAGCGGUGAAAUGCGUAGAUAUCUGGAGGAACACCGGUGGCGAAGGCGGCAUCCUGGACCAACACUGACGCUGAGGAGCGAAAGCCAGGGGAGCAAACGGG